AACGAACGCUGGCGGCAUGCCUAACACAUGCAAGUCGAACGAGACCUUCGGGUCUAGUGGCGCACGGGUGCGUAACGCGUGGGAACCUGCCCUUAGGUUCGGAAUAACUCCCCGAAAGGGGUGCUAAUACCGGAUAAUGUCUUCGGACCAAAGAUUUAUCGCCUUUGGAUGGGCCCGCGUUGGAUUAGCUAGUUGGUAGGGUAAAAGCCUACCAAGGCGACGAUCCAUAGCUGGUCUGAGAGGAUGAUCAGCCACACUGGGACUGAGACACGGCCCAGACUCCUACGGGAGGCAGCAGUGGGGAAUAUUGGACAAUGGGCGAAAGCCUGAUUCAGCAAUGCCGCGUGAGUGAUGAAGGCCUUAGGGUUGUAAAGCUCUUUUACCCGGGAUGAUAAUGACAGUACCGGGAGAAUAAGCUCUGGCUAACUCCGUG
RNAcentral lists this ribosomal RNA (433 nucleotides) under uncultured bacterium. Its description in RNAcentral is "partial 16S ribosomal RNA". It matches the Rfam family "Bacterial small subunit ribosomal RNA", at positions 29 to 507 of the family's 1533-position model. The record is from RNAcentral.